This 253-nucleotide ribosomal RNA is filed under the name uncultured bacterium. RNAcentral's name for it is "partial 16S ribosomal RNA". It matches the Rfam family "Bacterial small subunit ribosomal RNA", at positions 524 to 776 of the family's 1533-position model. The record is from RNAcentral.
UACAGAGGUCCCAAGCGUUGUUCGGAUUUACUGGGCGUAAAGGGUGCGUAGGUGGUUGGGUAAGUCUGAUGUGAAAUCUCCGGGCUCAACCCGGAAAUGGCAUUGGAUACUACUUGACUAGAGGGUUGGAGGGGGGACUGGAAUACUUGGUGUAGCAGUGAAAUGCGUAGAUAUCAAGUGGAACACCAGUGGCGAAGGCGAGUCCCUGGACAACUCCUGACACUGAGGCACGAAAGCUAGGGGAGCAAACAGG